This 810-nucleotide ribosomal RNA is filed under the name uncultured bacterium. Its description in RNAcentral is "bacterial SSU rRNA". It matches the Rfam family "Bacterial small subunit ribosomal RNA", at positions 56 to 914 of the family's 1533-position model. The record is from RNAcentral.
UGCAAGUCGAGCGCGCCCUUCGGGGCGAGCGGCGAACGGGUGAGUAACACGUGGGAACGUGCCCUUCUCCACGGAAUAGCCUUUGGAAACGAAGAGUAAUACCGUAUACGCCCUUCGGGGGAAAGAUUUAUCGGUGAAGGAUCGGCCCGCGCCCGAUUAGGUAGUUGGUGGGGUAAUGGCCCACCAAGCCGACGAUCGGUAGCUGGUUUUAGAGGACGAUCAGCCACACUGGGACUGAGACACGGCCCAGACUCCUGCGGGAGGCAGCAGUGGGGAAUCUUGGACAAUGGGGGAAACCCUGAUCCAGCCAUGCCGCGUGAGUGAAGAAGGCCCUAGGGUCGUAAAGCUCUUUCGUCAGGGAUGAUAAUGACAGUACCUGGUAAAGAAACCCCGGCUAACUCCGUGCCAGCAGCCGCGGUAAUACGGAGGGGGUUAGCGUUGUUCGGAAUUACUGGGCGUAAAGCGCACGUAGGCGGGCUGGAAAGUCGGGGGUGAAAUCCCGGGGCUCAACCCCGGAACUGCCUUCGAAACUCCCAGUCUGGAGUUCGGGAGAGGUGAGUGGAAUUCCGAGUGUAGAGGUGAAAUUCGUAGAUAUUCGGAAGAACACCAGUGGCGAAGGCGGCUCACUGGCCCGGUACUGACGCUGAGGUGCGAAAGUGUGAGGAGCAAACAGGAUUAGAUACCCUGGUAGUCCACACCGUAAACGAUGAAUGCCAGUCGUCGGGCAGCAUGCUGUUCGGUGACGCACCUAACGGAUUAAGCAUUCCGCCUGGGGAGUACGGUCGCAAGAUUAAAACUCAAGGAAUUGAC